This 365-nucleotide ribosomal RNA is filed under the name uncultured beta proteobacterium. Its description in RNAcentral is "bacterial SSU rRNA". It matches the Rfam family "Bacterial small subunit ribosomal RNA", at positions 30 to 392 of the family's 1533-position model. The record is from RNAcentral. Lineage: Bacteria; Pseudomonadati; Pseudomonadota; Betaproteobacteria.
AUUGAACGCUGGCGGAAUGCUUUACACAUGCAAGUCGAACGGCAGCACGGGAGCUUGCUCCUGGUGGCGAGUGGCGAACGGGUGAGUAACAUAUCGGAACGUAUCCAAUAAUGGGGGAUAACUAGUCGAAAGAUUAGCUAAUACCGCAUACGCCCUGAGGGGGAAAGCUGGGGAUCUUCGGACCUAGCGUUUAAUGGAGCGGCCGAUAUCUGAUUAGCUAGUAGGUGAGGUAAAAGCUCACCUAGGCGACGAUCAGUAGCUGGUCUGAGAGGACGACCAGCCACACUGGAACUGAGACACGGUCCAGACUCCUACGGGAGGCAGCAGUGGGGAAUUUUGGACAAUGGGCGCAAGCCUGAUCCAGC